ACGGUAACGCGGACUUCGGUCUGGCGACGAGUGGCGAACGGGUGAGUAAUGCAUCGGAACGUAUCCAUUUGUGGGGGAUAGCCCGGCGAAAGCCGGAUUAAUACCGCAUAAUCUCCGAGGAGGAAAGUGGGGGACCUUCGGGCCUUACGCUGAUGGAGCGGCUGAUGUCGGAUUAGCUUGUUGGUAGGGUAAAGGCCUACCAAGGCGACGAUCCGUAGCUGGUCUGAGAGGACGACCAGCCACACUGGAACUGAGACACGGUCCAGACUCCUACGGGAGGCAGCAGUGGGGAAUUUUGGACAAUGGGGGCAACCCUGAUCCAGCCAUGCCGCGUGCGGGAAGAAGGCCUUCGGGUUGUAAACCGCUUUCAGACGGAAAGAAACAGUGCAAGCUAAUACCUUGUACGAAUGACGGUACCGUCAGAAGAAGCACCGGCUAACUACGUGCCAGCAGCCGCGGUAAUACGUAGGGUGCGAGCGUUAAUCGGAAUUACUGGGCGUAAAGAGUGCGCAGGCGGCUCUCUAAGACAGGUGUGAAAUCCCCGGGCUUAACCUGGGAAUGGCGCUUGUGACUGGAGAGCUAGAGUGUGGCAGAGGGGAAUGGAAUUCCUGGUGUAGCAGUGAAAUGCGUAGAUAUCAGGAGGAACACCGAUGGCGAAGGCAGUUCCCUGGGCCAACACUGACGCUCAUGCACGAAAGCGUGGGGAGCAAACAGGAUUAGAUACCCUGGUAGUCCACGCCCUAAACGAUGUCAACUAGUUGUUGGGGAAGGAGACUUCUUUAGUAACGUAGCUAACGCGUGAAGUUGACCGCCUGGGGAGUACGGCCGCAAGGUUAAAACUCAAAGGAAUUGACGGGG
This 858-nucleotide ribosomal RNA is filed under the name uncultured beta proteobacterium. Its description in RNAcentral is "bacterial SSU rRNA". It matches the Rfam family "Bacterial small subunit ribosomal RNA", at positions 66 to 918 of the family's 1533-position model. The record is from RNAcentral. Lineage: Bacteria; Pseudomonadati; Pseudomonadota; Betaproteobacteria.